AGGUCUCCGGAUGUUGAUGCAGAAAGCUCGCGGGCGCCAGUCUUCCCCGGAGGAAAAGUUGGAGCGGAUGACAGAAAAUGACACUGGAGCACACGCGCUAAUUCACACUACCAUAACAGGCUGGAUGAAGCACGGGGUGUGACUCUGAGAUGUCUGUUUCCAGCUCACAGGCAGCUGCAGGCCUUUAAACAAAGAACACCAACUCUGGGAAUAAGAAUAAGAGGAACAGUUGCCGGGAUCUAUUGAUCAAGAAUUCCAUUAUCCCUUUAAAGCCGAGCGUAUCGCAGACGACACUUUGCAUUAUUGUAAUUGUGCGACGGUUUGUGCCAUCAGGAAACUUCCAACGGUUUCUGAAAGCUGAGGAGUUGCACGUCAAAUCCAACAUGCGGUUAUUUAUGGUAAUUGCACUCACACUGCUGCAGGAAGCUGGCAAAUCAGCGUCUUUGUCACCAGAGAGGAGUGAGUUGGAAAAAUGCCUGUACAUUGUCUCCAAUUUUUGGCCUGUUUUUGCGCAUUGAGACAAAAACUCAUAUAAAUUACUUUAUUUUAUUAUAAAAUAAUAUGAAUUAUUUUAAAUAUGUUUUAUACUGUUCAUAUUUCAAAUUUAACACGCAAAAUCUGGUCAUCAUGUACAACUAGUGUUUGUUUUUGUUUUUCUUCAUUUUAAAUUGUUAACUCACCAUUUUAACAUGCAGUGAUUUGUAAAUAACUUACUCACAGGACAUUUUCUGGCUCUUUAACGCUUAAAAAAAGCAAAAGAAAAUCCAGAAGGACAUUUUGAGGCUUAGGUGUUAAAGGGUUAUAAGAGACAAUGACUCACCUUCAGCUCUUAGGCUUUGUUUACAGCCUCGCCACUAAAACUGUAGUGCCACAACAGAUGUUGACCAAUCCCUUUCAGCUACAUCGUCUUUCUAUGUUGCAAAGAAACUUUAAGAACGAGGAAAGAGUCCAAAAGUAAAUCAAAAGCUAUUUAAACCUGUGUCAGUAUAACCACGUAGUGUUAGAGAUGGAAAGAUUGCCUCUGGUCAUGUGCCAUGUGCAUUCAAAAUGAAUGGGUCUGUCCGUGUUGGUUCACCUUUUUGUAGAUGAAACUCCACUAUCAACUUUUUUUUUUCUGUCCGUUUUUCUAGCCCACUGCAGCUUUGAUUUGGGUCCAUUUCAUGUUUUUAAUGAAAUCAUUAUUAUAACUAUAACCCAGAUUAAUGUUUUUUUUGAUGAUUAUAUGCCACAGUAAAUGUUGCAUUACAAGCAACAUAUGGACUCCAUGAACUGUGCUCAUCCGAACGGGCUACCCUACGCCAGGUUUAAAGACGAUAUUUGGCUGCGAACAUCACUUCACAGGAAACAGACAGAUGGAACAGCAGGGUAGGUGGGUGUACCAACCACUAGUAUCUGAAUAGGCUGCAAACUUUGGAG
Molecule: long non-coding RNA, 1416 nt
Organism: Solea solea (common sole)
Lineage: Eukaryota; Metazoa; Chordata; Actinopteri; Pleuronectiformes; Soleidae
Exons: 3
Source: RefSeq, a predicted model, not a curated record